GCUUGUCUCAAAGAUUAAGCCAUGCAUGUCUAAGUAUAAACUUUUUUACGGUGAAACUGCGAAUGGCUCAUUAAAACAGUUAUAGUUUAUUUGAUGGUCGCUCACUACAUGGAUAACCGUGGUAAUUCUAGAGCUAAUACAUGCGUCAAAACCUGACUUCUUGGAAGGGUUGUGUUUAUUAGACUUAAGCCAAUAUUCCUUGUGUCUAUUGCGAUGAUUCAUAAUAACUGAUCGAAUCUCAAAUUUGAGAUAAAUCAUUCAAGUUUCUGCCCUAUCAGCUUUCGAUGGUAGUGUAUUGGACUACCAUGGCAGUAACGGGUAACGAAGAAUUAGGGUUCGAUUUCGGAGAGGGAGCAUGAGAAACGGCUACCACAUCUAAGGAAGGCAGCAGG
This 392-nucleotide ribosomal RNA is filed under the name uncultured Scuticociliatia. RNAcentral's name for it is "partial small subunit ribosomal RNA". It matches the Rfam family "Eukaryotic small subunit ribosomal RNA", at positions 30 to 432 of the family's 1831-position model. The record is from RNAcentral. Lineage: Eukaryota; Ciliophora; Oligohymenophorea.